AGGUUGGCUUGGAAGCAGCCAUCCUUUAAAGAAAGCGUAACAGCUCACUUGUCUAAAUAAGUUUUUCUGCGCCGAAAAUGUACCGGGGCUAAAGCUGUAUACCGAAGAUGUGGGUGCUUAUUAAUUUCGAUUAAUAGGCGCGGUAGCGGAGCGUUCCGUAAGUCUGUGAAGGUGGUUUGUAAAAACUGCUGGAGAUAUCGGAAGUGAGAAUGCUGACAUAAGUAGCGUAAAAGAGUGUGAAAAACACUCUCACCAAAAAUCUAAGGGUUCCUACGUUAAGUUAAUCUGCGUAGGGUUAGUCGGUUCCUAAGGCGAGUCCGUAAAGGAGUAGUCGAUGGCAAUUAGGUUAAUAUUCCUAAACCUCUUAAGUGUGACGGGUUUUGUAUUUGUAUAGGUCUUAUUGGAUUGAUCUAUGCUUAAAAGAAGCUCCAGGAAAUAGCACUUAUAUUUAUGAGGCCGUACCGUAAACCGACACUGGUGGAUGAGUAGAGUAUACUAAGGUGUUGAAAGAAUGAUGUUGAAGGAACUCGGCAAAUUAUACCUGUAACUUCGGAAGAAGGGUAACCUGCUUUUAGGCAACUAUAAGUAGGUGGCACAAAAUAGGGAGUAGCGACUGUUUACUAAAAACACAGGACUCUGCAAACACGUAAGUGGAAGUAUAGGGUCUGACGCCUGCCCGGUGCUGGAAGGUUAAUAGGAGGGGUGCAAGCUCUGAAUUGAAGCCCCAGUAAACGGCGGCCGUAACACUGACGGUCCUAAGGUAGCGAAAUUCCUUGUCGGGUAAGUUCCGACCCGCACGAAUGGCGUAACGAUUUCUCCACUGUCUCCAACAUCACUUCAGCGAAAUUGAAUUCCCCGUGCAGAUGCGGGGUACCCGCGGUUAGACGAAGAGACCCCGUGCACCUUUACUAUAGCUUUACAUUGCUAUUAAAAGUGUGAUGUGCAGGAUAGGUGGGAGACUUUGAAGUUAUGGCGCUAGCUAUAAUGGAGUUAACCUUGAGAUACCACCCUUUACACUUUUGAUAUCUAACUAUGUUUCAUUAUCUGGAACUAGGACAUUGUAUGGUGGGUAGUUUGACUGGGGCGGUCGCCUCCUAAAAAGUAACGGAGGCGUGCGAAGGUAAGCUAGAGCUGGUCGGAAAUCAGCUUGAUAGUACAAUGGCAUAAGCUUGCCUGACUGCGAGGCUGACAAGCCAAGCAGAGACGAAAGUCGGUCAUAGUGAUCCGGUAAUUCUGUAUGGAAGGGUUAUCGCUCAACGGAUAAAAGGUACGCCGGGGAUAACAGGCUGAUGGUGUUCGAGAGUUCAUAUCGACGACACCGUUUGGCACCUCGAUGUCGACUCAUCACAUCCUGGGGCUGGAGAAGGUCCCAAGGGUUCGGCUGUUCGCCGAUUAAAGUGUUACGUGAGUUGGGUUUAGAACGUCGUGAGACAGUUCGGUUUCUAUCUGCCGUGGGUGAAGGAAAUUUGAGAAGAUCUGACUCUAGUACGAGAGGACCGAGAUGUAUAUACCUCUGGUGUACCAGCUGUUAUGCCAAUAGCAUCGCUGGGUAGCUAUGUAUAGAUGGGAUAAUUGCUGAAAGCAUAUAAGCAAGAAACCCUCUUCAAAAAAAUUUCCCAAUUAAGGCCGUGGGAGACUACCACGUUGAUAGGCUAGGUGUAGAAGCAUGGUAACAUGU
This 1678-nucleotide ribosomal RNA is filed under the name uncultured Wolbachia sp. RNAcentral describes it as "partial 23S ribosomal RNA". It matches the Rfam family "Bacterial large subunit ribosomal RNA", at positions 1098 to 2886 of the family's 2925-position model. Lineage: Bacteria; Pseudomonadati; Pseudomonadota; Alphaproteobacteria; Rickettsiales; Anaplasmataceae. The record is from RNAcentral.